AUUUAAGUAUCUCCGCUACUUCACUCGCACUAUCCUUGAUGCUAGCCACUGACCAGUGGUUAGGAGCAAGUGAUCACAACCUUAACAUUUUUAUGGAAAAUUGGAGCCUUGACCUGGGGAUAACGUGAAACCCACGAGCUGCACGUUUCUCUGUAGACUGCAUCUGGACACCUGUCACGUUGCCGACUGGGUCUGACAGUCAUCGCCAGGACUGCCUGGGCCUGUGUUCAUUCCCAGUCAAUGAGUCCUGGGACACAGACGUCCCGGACUCGUGCCUGGUGCCAGGCCUCGUGCCUGCCCAAGGAUGCAGACACACCCGCCAUCAUCAUGCAAGUGCCAGGAGCUCUUCUCAGCACUUACGUGUGGGAACUCGAGUAAUCUCACACCCUAGGAGGUGGCACUACUGUCACCCCAGUGUGCAGAUGAGGAAUCAGAGGCCAGAAAAGGGGGUGACCUCACUCACACAGCAAGCAUGUUGCAGAGCUGGAGUCCAGGCCAUCAUUCUGAACCUGCCCCUGGCUGGGCCAUUGUACCUUGU
This 538-nucleotide small RNA is filed under the name Pongo abelii (Sumatran orangutan). RNAcentral describes it as "processed transcript". Lineage: Eukaryota; Metazoa; Chordata; Mammalia; Primates; Hominidae. The record is from RNAcentral.